This 227-nucleotide long non-coding RNA is filed under the name Elaeis guineensis (African oil palm). RNAcentral describes it as "long non-coding RNA (EGUI_LNC021011)". Lineage: Eukaryota; Viridiplantae; Streptophyta; Magnoliopsida; Arecales; Arecaceae. The record is from RNAcentral.
UUGUAGGAAAUGCAUGGCCACUAUUUGAGUGGUUGAUUACUUAUCAUUUUAAGAUCCAGUUGAAUCAAGCUAAGUUAGUUGAAUCUCACUUCUCACUUGACUUCCUAACAAAUUCUAUUACCAAUAUUUAUGGUGGCAUCAUUUACUAGUAUCCUAGAAAACAUAAAUUUAUUUGCACAACAUAUGCACACCUGAAACAAGAUAAAGAGAGAACAUUGCAAAUGAAG